This 465-nucleotide ribosomal RNA is filed under the name uncultured bacterium. RNAcentral describes it as "bacterial SSU rRNA". It matches the Rfam family "Bacterial small subunit ribosomal RNA", at positions 330 to 793 of the family's 1533-position model. The record is from RNAcentral.
UCCAGACUCCUACGGGAGGCAGCAGUGAGGAAUAUUGGUCAAUGGCCGGAAGGCUGAACCAGCCAAGCCGCGUGAAGGACGAAGGUGCCAAGCAUUGUAAACUUCUUUUGUCAAGGGACAAAAUCAGGCUCGAGAGCCUGACCGAGGGUACUUGAAGAAAAAGCAUCGGCUAACUCCGUGCCAGCAGCCGCGGUAAUACGGAGGAUGCGAGCGUUAUCCGGUUUUAUUGGGUUUAAAGGGUGCGCAGGCGGUAUAGUAAGUCAGAUGACAAAGCCGUGGGCCCACCCCCGGCCCGCCGUUGAAACUGGCAGUCUCGAGUUGGAGAGAAGUAUGCGGAAUGCGCGGUGUAGCGGUGAAAUGCAUAGAUAUCGCGCAGAACUCCGAUUGCGAAGGCAGCAUGCCGGCUCCACACUGACGCUGAGGCACGAAAGCGUGGGUAUCGAACAGGAUUAGAUACCCGAGUAA